RNAcentral lists this ribosomal RNA (497 nucleotides) under uncultured bacterium. RNAcentral describes it as "partial 16S ribosomal RNA". It matches the Rfam family "Bacterial small subunit ribosomal RNA", at positions 28 to 507 of the family's 1533-position model. The record is from RNAcentral.
GAUGAACGCUGGCGGCGUGCCUAAUACAUGCAAGUCGAGCGAACAGAUGAGGAGCUUGCUCCUCUGACGUUAGCGGCGGACGGGUGAGUAACACGUGGAUAACCUACCUAUAAGACUGGGAUAACUUCGGGAAACCGGAGCUAAUACCGGAUAAUAUAUUGAACCGCAUGGUUCAAUAGUGAAAGACGGUUUUGCUGUCACUUAUAGAUGGAUCCGCGCCGCAUUAGCUAGUUGGUAAGGUAACGGCUUACCAAGGCAACGAUGCGUAGCCGACCUGAGAGGGUGAUAGGCCACACUGGAACUGAGACACGGUCCAGACUCCUACGGGAGGCAGCAGUAGGGAAUCGGCCGCAAUGGGCGAAAGCCUGACGGAGCAACGCCGCGUGAGUGAUGAAGGUGUUCGGAUCGGAAAACUCUGUUAUGAGGGAAGAACAAAUGUGUAAGUAACUAUGCACGUCGUGACGGUACCUAAUCAGAAAGCCACGGCUAACUACGUG